RNAcentral lists this long non-coding RNA (2032 nucleotides) under Pan troglodytes (chimpanzee). Its description in RNAcentral is "lincRNA". The record is from RNAcentral. Lineage: Eukaryota; Metazoa; Chordata; Mammalia; Primates; Hominidae.
GUCACCCCUUUCUCUGACUAGGAAAGGGAACUCCCUGACCCCUUGCGCUUCCCGAGUGAGGCAAUGCCUUGCCCUGCUUCAGCUCGCGCACGGUGCGCGCACCCACUGACCUGCGCCCACUGUCUGGCACUCCCUAGUGAGAUGAACCCGGUACCUCAGAUGGAAAUGCAGAAAUCACCCGUCUUCUGCGUCGCUCACGCUGGGAGCUGUAGACCAGAGCUCUUCCUAUUCGGCCAUCUUGGCUCCUCCGUUCCGUCUAUGAGUCCAACCAGGAUGGCGACUUGACUGGAUUUUACAGUUUCAUUGACACGCAUGAGCUCUAUCAAACUUCUGGGAGUUUUUCUGAAAUGUUUACACGGAAGGCACCUGGAGCCCAUUGAAUUUCCCUCUUCAAAUGCUUAAGUUUUCUUCUGUCUUGGUGGCUACUGCCUCCUUCUCACUUUCUGCCUUAGGUCAAGAUAAAUGAGUUUUUCACCAAGAAAGCCAUAUGGAUCUCUGAGGUUUUGAACUCUAACCAAUGCUAUCUCAUUGAUUGCCUUUGGAUUUCAGGGUCUUAUUUUACGUCAACCUCAGCCUCUCUCUUCUGCAGUUCCAUAUCCGCAUGAGCUACAAGAGUCCCAUGUAGGUCCCUUCCUCUGCUAAUAGCUGCCUCAUUGUACUGCUUCUGUGUUCACUUUAGAGAUAGAGGAUCAAAUGGUAGAAACUUUUGGCAAACUUUUGACCAGAGAAUGGCUUACAUGGGAAUUAAUUAUGCACUUGUUCGUUUUACUCUAUAGAACAAUCCCAUCUGUAUUGGAUCUGUAUGUUCCAUCUCCCAUGUGAAAGAAGCACCCUACAAAGAUAACUUCAGUCUGGGCACAGUGGUUCACACCUGUAAUCCCAGAACUUUGGGAGCCUGAGUGGGGAGGAUCUUUUGAGCCCAGGAGUUCGAGACUAGUCUGGGCAACAAAGAGAGACCCUGUUUCUAAAACAAAAACAAAAACAAAGAUAUCUUCAGAGCCUGUUCAGUCUUUGGUCCUGGUUUAGAUAUAGGUAUAUAGAGAGAGCUAUUUGAGUAAUCAAUUCCCAAUAUGGUAUGAUUUGAGCAUUUGGAGAGGUCUUCUUUACAUAUCAUAGUCCUUAGAUUAUUACCAAUAAAUAUUUUUCUUUUGGGGUUAACAUUACAGUAAUAAUAUAUUUUGAAUCUAAAAUUUGGAUGGAGACACAGGACACAGAAUAUAUAAUGCUCAAAAAAUGUAAUGCUCAAUGAAGUGAAUGUCUCUAUCAUAUUCUUUUUUGUUGUUGUUGUUGUUAUAUAGAUGAGGCCUUCCUAUAUUGUCCAGGCUGGUCUCAAACACCCAGCUUUGCCUCCUUAUGUGCCAGGAAAACAGGCCUGAGCCACCAAGACUCUCAAUAUAUUAUUAAAAUAUAAACAAAUUACUUGAAGUGGUACCCCUCAAAAUAAUGUCAUUUUCACUUUAAUGUAAAUUAGUCUUACUAUAAAAUCACUUUCCUGCUUUCAACAAGUUGCAAUGUAAGACGGGACAUUCUCUGAAAUGGAGAGAAGAUAAACAUGAAGUAAGAAGCUUUGUCCCCAGCAGGCUUUUCCUGGCAGAAAAUAUGGACAUCUGGGUGGUGUCAUAGUCAGGAGGCCAGGAGGAAGGAUUUGCCAAAAUGGGUAAACUGGGCAGUGCAUGAAAACUGGUGCCUUUUCUCCUAUGGGCCAUCAUCCUGUUGAUAGUGAGGUACCAAGAGAAGUGCUGACGGUAAAGCCCUGUGUCCUCCCCAUCCAUGAUCUUGGCCGAAAGCAUUAACCCCCGAAGAGUCUCGGUGCUUCUAGAGACUUCCUGGUCUGAAGUGACUGCCUGUUGUGGACAAAAGCUGAAAACAAACAACAUAAAAACAAACUAAAAAGGUCAGUUACUCAAGGAUCUAGACAACUAGCCAACACCUCCACAAACAAAUGGGAGCUUAAUAGACUUCGCAAAAUUACUUUUUAUCUAGUUGUUUUUUUUUUUUUUUUUUUGCUUAUUUAAUAAAGUUGAAAAUACAA